UCAAGACGGAAUAAUCGAGCAACGGUU
This 27-nucleotide non-coding RNA is filed under the name Bombyx mori (domestic silkworm). The record is from RNAcentral. Lineage: Eukaryota; Metazoa; Arthropoda; Insecta; Lepidoptera; Bombycidae.